Molecule: ribosomal RNA, 197 nt
Filed under: uncultured fungus
Lineage: Eukaryota; Fungi
Description: partial 18S ribosomal RNA
Rfam family: Eukaryotic small subunit ribosomal RNA
Source: RNAcentral
GCAAGUCUGGUGCCAGCAGCCCCGGUAAUUCCAGCUCCAAUAGCGUAUAUUAAAGUUGUUGCAGUUAAAAAGCUCGUAGUUGAACUUUGGAUCUGGGUGACCGGUCUGCGUCUACCGCAUGUACUGGAAACCCGGAUCUUUCCUUCUGGAGAACCGCAUGCACUUUACUGGGUGUGUUGGGGAACCAGGACUUUUAC